This 372-nucleotide unclassified non-coding RNA is filed under the name fungal sp. RNAcentral describes it as "partial internal transcribed spacer region". The stretch from base 1 to 46 matches the Rfam family "Eukaryotic small subunit ribosomal RNA", at positions 1786 to 1831 of the family's 1831-position model. The record is from RNAcentral. Lineage: Eukaryota; Fungi.
AAGUCGUAACAAGGUUUCCGUAGGUGAACCUGCGGAAGGAUCAUUAACACGUAUCCAACGUUAAACCCCCUGUGAACCUUCAUUGUAUGAGUUACAUCCACGUCAUAAACCGGCAAUCUCUGGUAAAUCAUCGCCGAACAGUUUUGAUUCAGAGACCUCUGGGAAGGGUGUACGGUAGUGCGAGGCAAUUGACCUGGCAUUCCUCUGCUUGUUAGUGUCUGAAAGUGUCACUAGCUAUGUACGGAUGGCGCAGUAACGAGUCACUGGGCUACGGCCCCCCUGAUCACAACCUUUGCAUGAAAACGGGCCUGCGCUGAGGUGCGGCCACCCCUAAUGCUUGAACAACUGUUAACAAUGGAUAUCUUGGUUCUC